UGGCCAGUGACGAAACAUGAGUUGUACAGAUACUCUUGCAAGUUAAAUGAAGUAAAUUGAAAUACACACAUUGCGUCUCUGAGGUCA
Molecule: small nucleolar RNA, 87 nt
Filed under: Leersia perrieri
Lineage: Eukaryota; Viridiplantae; Streptophyta; Magnoliopsida; Poales; Poaceae
Description: Small nucleolar RNA Z163/Z177 family
Rfam family: Small nucleolar RNA Z163/Z177 family
About the family: This family of plant snoRNAs belong to the C/D class of snoRNA which contain the C (UGAUGA) and D (CUGA) box motifs.
Source: Rfam by way of RNAcentral